Molecule: ribosomal RNA, 484 nt
Filed under: uncultured bacterium
Lineage: Bacteria
Description: partial 16S ribosomal RNA
Rfam family: Bacterial small subunit ribosomal RNA
Source: RNAcentral
AUUGAACGCUGGCGGCAGGCCUAACACAUGCAAGUCGAGCGGAUGAAGGGAGCUUGCUCCUGGAUUCAGCGGCGGACGGGUGAGUAAUGCCUAGGAAUCUGCCUGGUAGUGGGGGAUAACGUCCGGAAACGGGCGCUAAUACCGCAUACGUCCUGAGGGAGAAAGUGGGGGAUCUUCGGACCUCACGCUAUCAGAUGAGCCUAGGUCGGAUUAGCUAGUUGGUGGGGUAAAGGCCUACCAAGGCGACGAUCCGUAACUGGUCUGAGAGGAUGAUCAGUCACACUGGAACUGAGGCACGGUCCAGACUCCUACGGGAGGCAGCAGUGGGGAAUAUUGGACAAUGGGCGAAAGCCUGAUCCAGCCAUGCCGCGUGUGUGAAGGAGGUCUUCGGAUUGUAAAGCACUUUAAGUUGGGAGGAAGGGCAGUAAGUUAAUACCUUGCUGUUUUGACGUUACCAACAGAAUAAGCACCGGCUAACUUCGUG